AGUGAACGCUGGCGGUAGGCCUAACACAUGCAAGUCGAACGGCAGCACAGUAAGAGCUUGCUCUUACGGGUGGCGAGUGGCGGACGGGUGAGGAAUACAUCGGAAUCUACUUUUUCGUGGGGGAUAACGUAGGGAAACUUACGCUAAUACCGCAUACGACCUACGGGUGAAAGCAGGGGAUCUUCGGACCUUGCGCGAUUGAAUGAGCCGAUGUCGGAUUAGCUAGUUGGCGGGGUAAAGGCCCACCAAGGCGACGAUCCGUAGCUGGUCUGAGAGGAUGAUCAGCCACACUGGAACUGAGACACGGUCCAGACUCCUACGGGAGGCAGCAGUGGGGAAUAUUGGACAAUGGGCGCAAGCCUGUUCCAGCCAUACCGCGUGGGUGAAGAAGGCCUUCGGGUUGUAAAGCCCUUUUGUUGGGAAAGAAAAGCAGCAGGUUAAUACCCCGCUGUUCUGACGGGACCCAAAGAAUAAGCACCGGCUAACUUCGU
This 491-nucleotide ribosomal RNA is filed under the name uncultured bacterium. Its description in RNAcentral is "partial 16S ribosomal RNA". It matches the Rfam family "Bacterial small subunit ribosomal RNA", at positions 29 to 506 of the family's 1533-position model. The record is from RNAcentral.